RNAcentral lists this unclassified non-coding RNA (240 nucleotides) under soil metagenome. Its description in RNAcentral is "partial contains 5.8S ribosomal RNA, internal transcribed spacer 2, and large subunit ribosomal RNA". The record is from RNAcentral.
AACCUAGCACACCUGCGGUGUGUACCUGCGGAAGGAUCAUUAAAAAGAGUGUGUACCCCUCUGUAAAAUGAGUGGGUUACCUCCCGUCCUUUGUUGACCUCUUAGGAGGUUAUUUUGAACUUUCUGCUUCGGUGGGGUUAAACCUACCGGAACACCCUCAAAUUCUUAUCAUUUAAAAAUUGUUCAGUCUGAUUUUUGUUAAUAAAAACAAAAAACUUUUAGCAACGGAUCUCAGAUCGG